This 493-nucleotide ribosomal RNA is filed under the name uncultured bacterium. RNAcentral's name for it is "partial 16S ribosomal RNA". It matches the Rfam family "Bacterial small subunit ribosomal RNA", at positions 30 to 523 of the family's 1533-position model. The record is from RNAcentral.
AUUGAACGCUGGCGGCAUGCUUUACACAUGCAAGUCGAACGGUAGCAGGUUAAGCUGACGAGUGGCGAACGGGUGAGUAAUGCAUCGGAACGUGCCCGGUCGUGGGGGAUAACGCAGUGAAAGCUGCGCUAAUACCGCAUACGAUCUGAGGAUGAAAGCGGGGGACCGUAAGGCCUCGCGCGAUCGGAGCGGCCGAUGUCAGAUUAGGUAGUUGGUGGGGUAAAGGCUCACCAAGCCAACGAUCUGUAGCUGGUCUGAGAGGACGACCAACCACACUGGGACUGAGACACGGCCCAGACUCCUACGGGAGGCAGCAGUGGGGAAUUUUGGACAAUGGGCGAAAGCCUGAUCCAGCAAUGCCGCGUGCAGGAAGAAGGCCUUCGGGUCGUAAACUGCUUUUGUACGGAGCGAAAAGGUCUCCUCUAAUACAGGGGGCUCAUGACGGUACCGUAAGAAUAAGCACUGGCUAACUACGUGCCAGCAGUCGCCGUAA